This 337-nucleotide unclassified non-coding RNA is filed under the name soil metagenome. Its description in RNAcentral is "partial contains 5.8S ribosomal RNA, internal transcribed spacer 2, and large subunit ribosomal RNA". The stretch from base 1 to 120 matches the Rfam family "5.8S ribosomal RNA", at positions 35 to 154 of the family's 154-position model. The record is from RNAcentral.
GAUGAAGAACGUAGCGAAAUGCGAUAAGUAGUGUGAAUUGCAGAAUUCAGUGAAUCAUCGAAUCUUUGAACGCACAUUGCGCCCCUUGGUAUUCCAUGGGGCAUGCCUGUUCGAGCGUCAUUUGUACCUUCAAGCCUUGCUUGGUGUUGGGUGUUUGUCUCGCCUCUGCGCGCAGACUCGCCUCAAAACAAUUGGCAGCCGGCGUAUUGAUUUCGGAGCGCAGUACAUCUCGCGCUUUGCACUCAUAACGACGACGUCCAAAAGUACAUUUUUACACUCUUGACCUCGGAUCAGGUAGGGAUACCCGCUGAACUUAAGCAUAUCAAUAAGCGGAGGA